RNAcentral lists this ribosomal RNA (428 nucleotides) under Acidobacteriota bacterium. Its description in RNAcentral is "Acidobacteria bacterium partial 16S ribosomal RNA". It matches the Rfam family "Bacterial small subunit ribosomal RNA", at positions 355 to 776 of the family's 1533-position model. The record is from RNAcentral. Lineage: Bacteria; Pseudomonadati; Acidobacteriota.
UGGGGAAUUUUGGACAAUGGGGGAAACCCUGAUCCAGCCAUCCCGCGUGUGCGAUGAAGGCCUUCGGGUUGUAAAGCACUUUUGGCAGGAAAGAAACGUCAUGGGUUAAUACCCGGGAAACCGACGGGACCUGCAGAAUAAGCACCGGCCAACCUAGUGCCCGCAGCCGCGGUAAUACGUAGGGUGCAAGCGUUAAUCGGAAUUACUGGGCGUAAAGCGUGCGCAGGCGGUUCGGAAAGAAAGAUGUGAAAUCCCAGAGCUCAACUUUGGAACUGCAUUUUUAACUACCGGGCUAGAGUGUGUCAGAGGGAGGUGGAAUUCCGCGUGUAGCAGUGAAAUGCGUAGAUAUGCGGAGGAACACCGAUGGCGAAGGCAGCCUCCUGGGAUAACACUGACGCUCAUGCACGAAAGCGUGGGGAGCAAACAGG